RNAcentral lists this ribosomal RNA (497 nucleotides) under uncultured bacterium. RNAcentral describes it as "partial 16S ribosomal RNA". It matches the Rfam family "Bacterial small subunit ribosomal RNA", at positions 28 to 507 of the family's 1533-position model. The record is from RNAcentral.
GAUGAACGCUGGCGGCGUGCCUAAUACAUGCAAGUCGAGCGAACAGACGAGGAGCUUGCUCCUCUGACGUUAGCGGCGGACGGGUGAGUAUCACGUGGAUAACCUACCUAUAAGACUGGGAUAACUUCGGGAAACCGGAGCUAAUACCGGAUAAUAUAUUGAACCGCAUGGUUCAAUAGUGAAAGACGGUUUUGCUGUCACUUAUAGAUGGAUUCGCGCCGCAUUAGCUAGUUGGUAAGGUAACGGCUUACCAAGGCAACGAUGCGUAGCCGACCUGAGAGGGUGAUCGGCCACACUGGAACUGAGACACGGUCCAGACUCCUACGGGAGGCAGCAGUAGGGAAUCUUCCGCAAUGGGCGAAAGCCUGACGGAGCAACGCCGCGUGAGUGAUGAAGGUCUUCGGAUCGUAAAACUCUGUUAUUAGGGAAGAACAAAUGUGUAAGUAACUAUGCACGUCUUGACGGUACCUAAUCAGAAAGCCACGGCUAACUACGUG